Rhinichthys klamathensis goyatoka is the source of this 786-nucleotide long non-coding RNA. RefSeq lists it as uncharacterized. Lineage: Eukaryota; Metazoa; Chordata; Actinopteri; Cypriniformes; Leuciscidae. The transcript is spliced from 5 exons. The record is from RefSeq and is a predicted model, not a curated record.
AGUCCGUUACUGUUUGAGUCGGUGUGUGAGGUGAGCAGCUGCUGAUUAUUACCCGGUCGGACACGGAUUAUUUUAUAAAUUCUUGUUAAAUUCUUAUUUUGAGCGAAUGUGAGUUGUGAUAUGUCAAUGAAGGACAAAACUUGAAAUGUGAACAGAGGAAGGGGUUGUAACGUUACGUGGUCUGUAAAAAUACUGGCGAUAUCACUUCAGGUCAAGCAUUGGAAUAAGAUUUUUUUGGGGGGAGAACACCCAAAUAGAGACAAAUCCACCAACUACAUGAAAGGUCAUGUCACCUUCAUCAGUCCUUUAUUUAAUUCACUGGAAAACAUUAAGGGAAAGACCCUCAGACAUGUCAUAACAGGAUAAAGGCUGCAGACUCACCAAGGAUCCAGAUGAUUCCUGGCAAUUUGGUGGAGGAUUUUUCUUCAGCUGCUGUCACUUCUGGAUCGUACAGAGAGCGGACAAGAAGUGAAGAGGGAACGAGAGGAAGCGUUGGCAUCGAAACGGACCGCGAGCUGGGACUCUGCUAGAGCAAUGCACAAGGCUGUCGCAUUUUAUUGAGAUGCUAAGCUUUUUCUACUGUUACUGUACAUUUUAAAUAUUAAAUGUAUUUCAUCUAAGUUUUACUGUAAUUGAACAAAAACUGUCUUUUAAAUAUUCCAUUCAGAUUUGUACUUUACUUUAACAUUACGUUGAAAACACUGCAAGUUAAAGUUUGAGAUGUAGAAAGUAUUUUUAGACUUUUUUGUUUUGUUUUCCAAAAUAAAACUUGUUUUACAAUCUUGA